This is a long non-coding RNA of Arachis duranensis, 824 nucleotides long. RefSeq lists it as uncharacterized. Lineage: Eukaryota; Viridiplantae; Streptophyta; Magnoliopsida; Fabales; Fabaceae. The record is from RefSeq and is a predicted model, not a curated record. The transcript has 3 exons.
AAGGGUUGCUGAAAUAACUGCUGACUCAUUCAUACACACUAACAGUAGGGUUAAUUAAAUGAUGCUAAUACUACUGUAAUUGUGUGAAUGAAGCGGGAGAUAUUUUGCAUUAUCCUCUUUCUCUGUGCUUGGACUGAAGGGGAGCUCCUUCUUUCUGUUGCCUCCAUUAUUAUUAUAUUGGUAUAUAUUUUCUAUCAUAUAUGUCUCAAUUUCAAUUCAAUCAAAUAUAUAUGUAUAUGCUUGGCACAAAAAGGUGUAGCUGAUGUUUACACAUCAUAGAUCUAUAUCGUUCUUCUAGGCCUACGGUCUUUGUAAGUAUAUUUAUUAACUCUGAUAUUCACCACCAUAUAUAACACUCACUACUGCUACCCAAAGAUUCACCAAGCACUUGCAUAUGACUCUUAAUUAAUGGCUACAUACAUGCCCCCACUUGCCAGCAAAGUCAUGAUGUCCGACAUGGGUAAAUAAACAGUUACACCACAAUCAGUUUCACUUGCCUCUUUUCAUGAAUGCGAAAGCAGAUCAAUUGUGCUACAUUAAUUCCUUUCCAGUUCAAGCUUCUAUUCUUAUUCUUCUCUCUCCGAUCCGUACAAUUUAUGGUUCUAUUUUUUUGAAGAGUUGGCCAUUAUGAUUGAGGGGUGUGUGACUCCUCGUUUGAAUUCUUACUGCAUAUAUAUGGACCCAAAUAUCAAGAGCAGAGUGUAUUGUACAUUAUACUAAUGACAUUCACAUUCCAAUCACCGGUUGUCAGAUAAUUUUAUGGAAUUCAUUGAUAUCCUAGGCAUUGUCUUCGGUAUUAGAAUAAAUUAAUACAGAUAUAAUAU